CGCGUAGGCGGUUGGAUAAGUCAGCUGUGAAAACCACGGGCUUAACUCGUGGCCUGCAGUUGAGACUGUCUGGCUUGAGUGUGGGAGAGGAGAGUGGAAUUCCUGGUGUAGCGGUGAAAUGCGUAGAUAUCAGGAGGAACACCGGUGGCGAAGGCGGCUCUCUGGACCACAACUGACGCUGAGGCGCGAAAGCUAGGGAGCAAACA
Molecule: ribosomal RNA, 206 nt
Filed under: uncultured bacterium
Lineage: Bacteria
Description: partial 16S ribosomal RNA
Rfam family: Bacterial small subunit ribosomal RNA
Source: RNAcentral